AGCACAAUAGCUCAAUGGUAUAGAGCACCACAGCGCCUUGGGAGGUCGCGGGUUCGAAUCCCACUUGUGCGC
This is a non-coding RNA of Trametes coccinea BRFM310, 72 nucleotides long. NCBI's taxonomy places the organism in Eukaryota, Fungi, Basidiomycota, Agaricomycetes, Polyporales, Polyporaceae. The record is from the annotation of a GenBank genome assembly.